GAUCAGCACUUACCUGCAUUCUGGUAGGGAGGACGAGGAAGAGGGAUUCUGCACACAACUGCUCUUUUGAUCCUGAGUCAGAGGAUUAGCUUCAGACUGGUAUAUUUAUAAGAACAUCUGCGAAGAAGGAGAGUGUUUUCCCUGCCAACUUCCGCUCCUUUGAGGCCACCGGGUCAAGAAAUUGCCAACCAGCCCACCUUGUACGCUGCCAACUCCAUUUGAAACUGCCGACGCUAUCAUUGACCCUCAGAGGAGGAACUCUGGACAAUGACUUGGCAUUCAUUCACAGACUUGAGUCUUUCCCUAGCCUUGUUCCAGUGAUAGUGCCAGGCAGAAAAUUCAACUGAGUGGAAAAAUGAGAACAAGAUGGAGAGGAAUGAAAGACAACAGUCAAACUGCUGCCAUUCAAAGUCCACCUCAGUUUCUGCCUUCUCGCGUGACUCCGGCUCCGUGCAAAGCGAGUGCAGGUGUUUACUGUAAGGAGGAGAAGAAAGGACGAGAACGUCAGCGGCCUCCUCACAGCCUGGAUGGCAGAUGGAGAAGAGCAGGAAUACAGAAACUCCAAGCAGAA
This is a long non-coding RNA of Xiphophorus couchianus (Monterrey platyfish), 571 nucleotides long. RefSeq lists it as uncharacterized. The transcript has 6 exons. The record is from RefSeq and is a predicted model, not a curated record. Lineage: Eukaryota; Metazoa; Chordata; Actinopteri; Cyprinodontiformes; Poeciliidae.